This 811-nucleotide ribosomal RNA is filed under the name Encyrtidae sp. 23955. RNAcentral's name for it is "partial 28S ribosomal RNA". It matches the Rfam family "Eukaryotic large subunit ribosomal RNA", at positions 405 to 944 of the family's 3401-position model. RNAcentral also lists the same sequence under 1 other name. The record is from RNAcentral. Lineage: Eukaryota; Metazoa; Arthropoda; Insecta; Hymenoptera; Encyrtidae.
CCGUUCAGGGGUAAACCUGAGAAACCCAAAAGAUCGAAUAGGGAGAUUCAUCGUCAACGGCGUUGGCUUCCGUGCGUGACGUGAUGCCGCGGUGUUUCGAUGCCGUGGCACGCGUCCGCUGCGGCAUGACUGGCGCUCGUCGGCGUGCACUUCUCCCUUAGUAGAACGUCGCGACCCGUUGGGUGCUGGCCUACGGCCCGGAUUGGUCGACUGUCUCGCUUCUGCGAGGCAGACCGUCGGUUUCGCCCGGCCGGCUGCCCGGCGGUAUUGAACGCUUGUACACGAUUGGUAUUGGGCCGCAUUGAAUGCGUUCCGGCUCGUCGGCAGAUCCGUCUCGCUUGGUUUUUACGGGCCUAGUUUACCGUGGCCGAGUGCUUGGCGCGAUCGUUAGUCGACGAUGUCCUCGAACUGGCUCAUUCCAUAUUCAUUAUGGAAAUUACCGGUCUGCGACGCUUUUGCUUUGGGUACUUUCAGGACCCGUCUUGAAACACGGACCAAGGAGUCUAACAUGUGCGCGAGUCAUUGGGACUUGUUUAUUAAAGCCUAAAGGCGCAAUGAAAGUGAAGGUACGGUCUUGCACCGGCCAAGGGAGGAUGUCUCGCUAUACGUGGCGAGUCCGCACUCCCGGGGCGUCUCGUGCUCAUUGCGAGCAGAGGCGCACCCAGAGCGUACACGUUGGGACCCGAAAGAUGGUGAACUAUGCCUGGUCAGGACGAAGUCAGGGGAAACCCUGAUGGAGGUCCGUAGCGAUUCUGACGUGCAAAUCGAUCGUCGGAACUGGGUAUAGGGGCGAAAGACUAAUCGAACCAUC